UCAAAGGAAUUGACGGGGACCCGCACAAGCGGUGGAUGAUGUGGAUUAAUUCGAUGCAACGCGAAAAACCUUACCUACCCUUGACAUGUCUGGAAUUCCGAAGAGAUUUGGAAGUGCUCGCAAGAGAACCGGAACACAGGUGCUGCAUGGCUGUCGUCAGCUCGUGUCGUGAGAUGUUGGGUUAAGUCCCGCAACGAGCGCAACCCUUGUCAUUAGUUGCUACGAAAGGGCACUCUAAUGAGACUGCCGGUGACAAACCGGAGGAAGGUGGGGAUGACGUCAAGUCCUCAUGGCCCUUAUGGGUAGGGCUUCACACGUCAUACAAUGGUCGGGACAGAGGGUCGCCAACCCGCGAGGGGGAGCCAAUCCCAGAAACCCGAUCGUAGUCCGGAUCGCAGUCUGCAACUCGACUGCGUGAAGUCGGAAUCGCUAGUAAUCGCGGAUCAGCAUGUCGCGGUGAAUACGUUCCCGGGUCUUGUACACACCGCCCGUCACACCAUGGGAGUGGGUUUUACCAGAAGUAGUUAGCCUAACCGUAAGGGGGGCGAUUACCACGGUAGGAUUCAUGACUGGGGUGAAGUCGUAACAAGUAAACC
RNAcentral lists this ribosomal RNA (596 nucleotides) under Alcaligenes sp. Pe89. RNAcentral describes it as "bacterial SSU rRNA". It matches the Rfam family "Bacterial small subunit ribosomal RNA", at positions 901 to 1501 of the family's 1533-position model. Lineage: Bacteria; Pseudomonadati; Pseudomonadota; Betaproteobacteria; Burkholderiales; Alcaligenaceae. The record is from RNAcentral.